This 467-nucleotide ribosomal RNA is filed under the name uncultured bacterium. RNAcentral describes it as "partial 16S ribosomal RNA". It matches the Rfam family "Bacterial small subunit ribosomal RNA", at positions 28 to 506 of the family's 1533-position model. The record is from RNAcentral.
GACGAACGUUGGCGGCGUGCUUAACACAUGCAAGUCGAACGGAAAGGCCCUGCUUUUGUGGGGUGCUCGAGUGGCGAACGGGUGAGUAACACGUGAGUAACCUGCCCUUGACUUUGGGAUAACUUCAGGAAACUGGGGCUAAUACCGGAUAGGAGCUCCUGCUGCAUGGUGGGGGUUGGAAAGUUUCGGCGGUUGGGGAUGGACUCGCGGCUUAUCAGCUUGUUGGUGGGGUAGUGGCUUACCAAGGCUUUGACGGGUAGCCGGCCUGAGAGGGUGACCGGCCAAAUGGGGACUGAGAUACGGCCCAGACUCCUACGGGAGGCAGCAGUGGGGAAUAUUGCACAAUGGGCGGAAGCCUGAUGCAGCAACGCCGCGUGCGGGAUGACGGCCUUCGGGUGGUAAACCGCUUUCGCCUGUGACGAAGCGUGAGUGACGGUAAUGGGUAAAGAAGCACCGGCUAACUACGU